Molecule: ribosomal RNA, 461 nt
Filed under: Semisulcospira gredleri
Lineage: Eukaryota; Metazoa; Mollusca; Gastropoda; Semisulcospiridae
Description: partial 16S large subunit ribosomal RNA
Rfam family: Bacterial large subunit ribosomal RNA
Source: RNAcentral
UUAUCAAAAACAUGGCUCUUUGCUUAAUAAAUAUAAAGAGUCGAGCCUGCCCAGUGAAUCUUUCAACGGCCGCGGUACUCUGACCGUGCAAAGGUAGCAUAAUCAUUUGCCUUAUAAUUGAAGGCUAGUAUGAAUGGUUUGACGAGAGCAAUACUGUCUCCUUUUUAUUUUCAAGAACUUAACUUUUAGGUGAAGAGGCCUAAAUUUUAUUGAAGGACAAGAAGACCCUGUCGAGCUUAAAAGAAACUAUAGAGGUUUAAUAUAUUUUUAGAUAAAUUUUCUAUUAAGCUUUUUAGUUGGGGCGACUAAGGAACAAAAAAAGCUUCUUUCUGACAAUAAACAAUCACGUUUAGAUCCGAUAGUAGCGAUUAAAGGAAUUAGUUACCGCAGGGAUAACAGCAUAAUCUCUCUUAAGAGACCUAAUCGAAAGAGGGGGUUGUGACCUCGAUGUUGGACUAGAA